RNAcentral lists this ribosomal RNA (248 nucleotides) under uncultured Muribaculaceae bacterium. Its description in RNAcentral is "partial 16S ribosomal RNA". It matches the Rfam family "Bacterial small subunit ribosomal RNA", at positions 524 to 772 of the family's 1533-position model. The record is from RNAcentral. Lineage: Bacteria; Pseudomonadati; Bacteroidota; Bacteroidia; Bacteroidales; Muribaculaceae.
UACGGAGGAUGCGAGCGUUAUCCGGAUUUAUUGGGUUUAAAGGGUGCGCAGGCGGAGCGUUAAGUCAGCGGUAAAAAUGCGGGGCUCAACCCCGUACGGCCGUUGAAACUGACGCCCUUGAGUGAGCGAGAAGUAUGCGGAAUGCGUGGUGUAGCGGUGAAAUGCAUAGAUAUCACGCAGAACUCCGAUUGCGAAGGCAGCAUACCGGCGCUCAACUGACGCUCAGGCACGAAAGCGUGGGUAUCAAA